Ictidomys tridecemlineatus (thirteen-lined ground squirrel) is the source of this 659-nucleotide non-coding RNA. Lineage: Eukaryota; Metazoa; Chordata; Mammalia; Rodentia; Sciuridae. The record is from RefSeq and is a predicted model, not a curated record.
UUGUAAGUGAUGUAACAAGCCCUCCAGAAACACGGGCUGCUGACUGCUUAAAAUGAAGCAGUUUCUCACUAUAGCAGAGCGUAAAAUCUGGACUUCCAAGAAAAGCCUCCGACCCGGCAGCUGUUACUGCAUGAUUUCAGUGGCACAAAGAUCUCAGUGAGAGUUCUAUGCUCCUCCUCCCCGCCUUGCCAGGAGCCACAGACAAGCCACAUUUGAAGUUUCUGCAGGAACGGGUGCAUGUCACGUCUGAUUGAUUCCACGUUACUGGGCGAGGCAAGUUCUGGGGGCUGCCCCAAAUCAAUGGAGCUGGAACCUGCACUUCUUCCCCGUCACCUCAAAGACACUCUGACGCUAAGAAAAGCUGAGCAACUUGACAAAGACCCAGAGCUGGAAAACAGAAAGUUGGGAUUCGGACACAAAUCUAGUGAGGUGUGCCCAGGAUGUCAUUUCCUACAAAUGGCCUCUCAGCCCAUCCAUAUGGAUCCAAAAGAUCAAAGGAGAAAAUGAGUCCCACAGCAGUGUUCCGAACACGGCCUGUCGUCAGACACCGAGCAAAAUUAGAUCAAGUCUCCUCUUUCCAAACACGUCUCUCCCUUUCUGCCCCUCCAGAGAGGCCCUUCAUCUUUAUUUUCAUUCAGUGCUAAAAUAUUUUCUAACGG